This 27-nucleotide non-coding RNA is filed under the name Rattus norvegicus (Norway rat). Lineage: Eukaryota; Metazoa; Chordata; Mammalia; Rodentia; Muridae. The record is from RNAcentral.
AGCAACCAAGAUGGGGAUAAAGGAUGC